Molecule: ribosomal RNA, 497 nt
Filed under: uncultured bacterium
Lineage: Bacteria
Description: partial 16S ribosomal RNA
Rfam family: Bacterial small subunit ribosomal RNA
Source: RNAcentral
GAUGAACGCUGGCGGCGUGCCUAAUACAUGCAAGUCGAGCGAACAGACGAGGAGCUUGCUCCUCUGACGUUAGCGGCGGACGGGUGAGUAACACGUGGAUAACCUACCUAUAAGACUGGGAUAACUUCGGGAAACCGGAGCUAAUACCGGAUAAUAUAUUGAACCGCAUGGUUCAAUAGUGAAAGACGGUUUUGCUGUCACUUAUAGAUGGAUCGGCGCCGCAUUAGCUAGUUGGUAAGGUAACGGCUUACCAAGGCAACGAUGCGUAGCCGACCUGAGAGGGUGAUCGGCCACACUGGAGCUGAGACGCGGUCCAGACUCCUACGGGAGGCAGCAGUAGGGAAUGUUCCGCAAUGGGCGAAAGCCUGACGGAGCAGCGCCGCGUGAGUGAUGAAGGUCUUCGGAUCGUAAAACUCUGUUAUUGGGGAAGAACAAAUGUGUAAGGAACUAUGCACGUCUUGACGGUACCUGGUCAGAAAGCCACGGCUAACUACGUG